CGGGGGCCAUGCGGGAAUCGAACCCGGGUCCUAGUGGUCGAAAACCAAACGGUUUACCCAGCCUUCCACCGACCCCC
RNAcentral lists this transfer RNA (77 nucleotides) under Cordylochernes scorpioides. RNAcentral's name for it is "tRNA-Glu". The record is from RNAcentral. Lineage: Eukaryota; Metazoa; Arthropoda; Arachnida; Pseudoscorpiones; Chernetidae.